Molecule: ribosomal RNA, 466 nt
Filed under: uncultured bacterium
Lineage: Bacteria
Description: partial 16S ribosomal RNA
Rfam family: Bacterial small subunit ribosomal RNA
Source: RNAcentral
GACGAACGCUGGCGGCGUGCUUAACACAUGCAAGUCGAACGGAAAGGCCUCUUUCGGGGGGUACUCGAGUGGCGAACGGGUGAGUAACACGUGAGUAACCUGCCCUUGACUUUGGGAUAACUUCAGGAAACUGGGGCUAAUACCGGAUAGGAGCUCCUGCUGCAUGGUGGGGGUUGGAAAGUUUCGGCGGUUGGGGAUGGACUCGCGGCUUAUCAGCUUGUUGGUGGGGUAGUGGCUUACCAAGGCUUUGACGGGUAGCCGACCUGAGAGGGUGACCGGCCACAUUGGGACUGAGAUACGGCCCAGACUCCUACGGGAGGCAGCAGUGGGGAAUAUUGCACAAUGGGUGGAAGCCUGAUGCAGCAACGCCGUGUGCGGGAUGACGGCCUUCGGGUUGUAAACCGCUUUCGCUCAUGACGAAGCUUUGUGUGACGGUAGUGGGUAAAGAAACACCGGCUAACUACGU